GACAAACGCUGGCGGCGUGUAUUAGGCAUGCAAGUCGUACGCACACUUCGGUGUGAGUGGCGGACGGGUGAGUAACACGUGGGUAACCUGCCCUUGGAGUGGGGAAUAACUCGCCGAAAGGCGAGCUAAUACCGCAUACCACCCCCGGUGAGAUUCCGGGUGGUAAAAGCAGUAAUGCGCUCUAGGAGGGGCCUGCGGCCGAUUAGCUUGUUGGUGGGGUAAUGGCUCACCAAGGCGACGAUCGGUAGCUGGUCUGAGAGGAUGGUCAGCCACACGGGGACUGAGAUACGGCCCCGACUCCUACGGGAGGCUG
This 313-nucleotide ribosomal RNA is filed under the name uncultured Chloroflexota bacterium. RNAcentral's name for it is "bacterial SSU rRNA". It matches the Rfam family "Bacterial small subunit ribosomal RNA", at positions 28 to 351 of the family's 1533-position model. Lineage: Bacteria; Bacillati; Chloroflexota. The record is from RNAcentral.